Molecule: ribosomal RNA, 1282 nt
Filed under: Staphylococcus pseudintermedius
Lineage: Bacteria; Bacillati; Bacillota; Bacilli; Caryophanales; Staphylococcaceae
Description: partial 23S ribosomal RNA
Rfam family: Bacterial large subunit ribosomal RNA
Source: RNAcentral
GAGGAACUUGUUCCUCGAGUCGUUGAUUUCACACUGCCGAGAAAAGCCUCUAGCUAGAAUAACGGUGCCCGUACCGCAAACCGACACAGGUAGUCAAGAUGAGAAUUCUAAGGUGAGCGAGCGAACUCUCGUUAAGGAACUCGGCAAAAUGACCCCGUAACUUCGGGAGAAGGGGUGCUCUUUGAGGUUCACGCUUCGAAGAGCCGCAGUGAAUAGGCCCAAGCGACUGUUUAUCAAAAACACAGGUCUCUGCUAAACCGUAAGGUGACGUAUAGGGGCUGACGCCUGCCCGGUGCUGGAAGGUUAAGAGGAGUGGUUAGCGCAAGCGAAGCUACGAAUCGAAGCCCCAGUAAACGGCGGCCGUAACUAUAACGGUCCUAAGGUAGCGAAAUUCCUUGUCGGGUAAGUUCCGACCCGCACGAAAGGCGUAACGAUUUGGGCACUGUCUCAACGAGAGACUCGGUGAAAUCAUAGUACCGGUGAAGAUGCCGGUUACCCGCGACAGGACGGAAAGACCCCGUGGAGCUUUACUGUAGCCUGAUAUUGAAAUUCGGUACAGUUUGUACAGGAUAGGUAGGAGCCUUAGAAGCGUGAGCGCUAGCUUACGUGGAGGCAUUGGUGGGAUACUACCCUAAUUGUAUUGGAUUUCUAACCCGCAGCACUUAUCGUGCUGGGAGACAGUGUCAGGCGGGCAGUUUGACUGGGGCGGUCGCCUCCUAAAGAGUAACGGAGGCGCUCAAAGGUUCCCUCAGAAUGGUUGGAAAUCAUUCAUAGAGUGUAAAGGCAUAAGGGAGCUUGACUGCGAGACCUACAAGUCGAGCAGGGUCGAAAGACGGACUUAGUGAUCCGGUGGUUCCGCAUGGAAGGGCCAUCGCUCAACGGAUAAAAGCUACCCCGGGGAUAACAGGCUUAUCUCCCCCAAGAGUUCACAUCGACGGGGAGGUUUGGCACCUCGAUGUCGGCUCAUCGCAUCCUGGGGCUGUAGUCGGUCCCAAGGGUUGGGCUGUUCGCCCAUUAAAGCGGUACGCGAGCUGGGUUCAGAACGUCGUGAGACAGUUCGGUCCCUAUCCGUCGUGGGCGUAGGAAAUUUGAGAGGAGCUGUCCUUAGUACGAGAGGACCGGGAUGGACAUACCUCUGGUGUACCAGUUGUCGUGCCAACGGCAUAGCUGGGUAGCUAUGUAUGGACGGGAUAAGUGCUGAAAGCAUCUAAGCAUGAAGCCCCCCUCGAGAUGAGAUUUCCCAACUUCGGUUAUAAGAUCCCUCAAAGAUGAUGAGGUGAAU